RNAcentral lists this ribosomal RNA (826 nucleotides) under uncultured Methanothermococcus sp. Its description in RNAcentral is "bacterial SSU rRNA". It matches the Rfam family "Archaeal small subunit ribosomal RNA", at positions 64 to 888 of the family's 1478-position model. The record is from RNAcentral. Lineage: Archaea; Methanobacteriati; Methanobacteriota; Methanococci; Methanococcales; Methanococcaceae.
GGANCUUCGGUCCNUGGCGGACGGCUCAGUAACACGUGGCUAACCUACCCUCGGGUGGGGGAUAACCUCGGGAAACUGAGGAUAAUACCCCAUAGGAGAAGAGGUCUGGAAUGAUCCUUCUCUGAAAACAUAUGUGCCCGAGGAUGGGGCUGCGUCUGAUUAGGUAGUUGGUGGGGUAACGGCCUACCAAGCCUACGAUCAGUACGGGCCUUGAGAGAGGCAGCCCGGAGAUGGGGACUGAGACACGGCCCCAGGCCCUACGGGGCGCAGCAGGCGCGAAACCUCCGCAAUGCACGAAAGUGCGACGGGGGGACCCCAAGUGCUUACGCACUGCGUAGGCUUUUCUAAAGUGUAAAAAGCUUUAGGAAUAAGGGCUGGGCAAGUCCGGUGCCAGCAGCCGCGGUAACACCGGCGGCCCGAGUGGUGACCACUUUUAUUGGGCCUAAAGCGUCCGUAGCCGGUCCAGUAAGUCCCUGUUUAAAUCCUACGGCUUAACCGUAGGGCUGGCAGGGAUACUGCUGGACUUGGGACCGGGAGAGGGCGAGGGUACUUCAGGGGUAGCGGUGAAAUGUGUUGAAUCCCUGGAGGACCACCUAUGGCGAAGACACUCGCCUGGAACGGGUCCGACGGUGANGGACUAAAGCCAGGGGCGCGGAACCGGAUUAGAUACCCGGGUAGUCCUGGCCGUUAAACUCUGNCGGACUAAGUGUUAGGUAGGCCCCGGUGNCUAUCUAGUGCCGAAGGGAAGNCGUUAAGUCCGCCGCCUGGGGAGUANGGUCGCAAGACUGAAACUUAAAGGAAUUGGCGGGGGAGCACNAACAACGGG